GGUGUUGUGGCGGAGUGGUUAACGCGAUUGACUAGAACCAGAAGCCUUCGGAAGGAGGCGGUUCAAUCAAUUUCCUUCGGGAGCACAUGUUCGAAUCAUGUCAACAUCG
Molecule: transfer RNA, 109 nt
Organism: Trichosporon asahii var. asahii CBS 8904
Lineage: Eukaryota; Fungi; Basidiomycota; Tremellomycetes; Trichosporonales; Trichosporonaceae
Rfam family: tRNA
About the family: Transfer RNA (tRNA) molecules are approximately 80 nucleotides in length. Their secondary structure includes four short double-helical elements and three loops (D, anti-codon, and T loops).
Source: Rfam